This 478-nucleotide ribosomal RNA is filed under the name uncultured bacterium. RNAcentral describes it as "partial 16S ribosomal RNA". It matches the Rfam family "Bacterial small subunit ribosomal RNA", at positions 28 to 506 of the family's 1533-position model. The record is from RNAcentral.
GAUGAACGCUAGCGGGAGGCCUAACACAUGCAAGCCGAGCGGUAGAGUUUCUUCGGAAACUUGAGAGCGGCGCACGGGUGCGUAACACGUGUGCAACCUACCUUUAUCUGGGGGAUAGCCUUUCGAAAGGAAGAUUAAUACCCCAUAAUAUAAUGAUUGGCAUCAAUUAUUAUUGAAAACUCCGGUGGAUAGAGAUGGGCACGCGCAAGAUUAGAUAGUUGGUGAGGUAACGGCUCACCAAGUCAAUGAUCUUUAGGGGUCCUGAGAGGGAGAUCCCCCACACUGGUACUGAGACACGGACCAGACUCCUACGGGAGGCAGCAGUGAGGAAUAUUGGACAAUGGGUGAGAGCCUGAUCCAGCCAUCCCGCGUGAAGGAUGACGGUCCUAUGGAUUGUAAACUUCUUUUGUACAGGGAUAAACCUACCCUCGUGAGGGUAGCUGAAGGUACUGUACGAAUAAGCACCGGCGAACUCCGU